GUCUACGGCCAUGCUACCCUGACUGUGCCCAAUCUCGUCUGAUCUCAAAAGUCAAGCAGGGUUGAGUGUGGCUAGUACUUGAGUGGGAGACCACCUAGGAAGACCAGGUGCUGUAGGUG
This 119-nucleotide ribosomal RNA is filed under the name Pteropus alecto (black flying fox). Lineage: Eukaryota; Metazoa; Chordata; Mammalia; Chiroptera; Pteropodidae. The record is from RNAcentral.